RNAcentral lists this ribosomal RNA (1287 nucleotides) under Staphylococcus sp. KSUM_46. Its description in RNAcentral is "bacterial SSU rRNA". The stretch from base 454 to 1287 matches the Rfam family "Bacterial small subunit ribosomal RNA", at positions 1 to 816 of the family's 1533-position model. The record is from RNAcentral. Lineage: Bacteria; Bacillati; Bacillota; Bacilli; Caryophanales; Staphylococcaceae.
GUUGGAAGAAUUUACAUCAUUUUGCGAAAUAUUUUGGUCCAGAAAUUUAUUGAUGAAUGGAGGGAUAUUUUAAGGGAAUAUAAAGGGGGAUUGGAGUGUUGGGUUUAGGGAGGAGUUUUUUUAGUGGAAAUUUAAAGGGAUUUUAGUAUUUGGGAGGGAAUUUUAUUGGGUAAAUAGUAAAUUAUAUAGUUACCUUGGAAAGGGGGGUAAAGGUUUAUAUAUUUGAAGGAGUUUUUAAAGGGUAUUUAAAAGAUUUGGGUUAAGGUUAUUUAGGGUUGGUUGGGAAUUUAAGAAAUGGUGGUAUAAAUUUGGGGAGGGGGAGGAGUUAAAUAAGUAUAGAGGUUUAAAGAAAAGGGGUAGAAAAACGGAAGGGGGGAGGGGAAAAAGGGAAAAGGGGGAGGAAAGAAGGGGAAAGAAAAAAUCCCAACCGUUAGGGGUUAAAACGCUUCACCGCCUUUUUUGAGUUUGGGGUUCUGCUCAGGAUGAACGCUGGCGGCGUGCCUAAUACAUGCAAGUCGAGCGAACAGACAAGGAGCUUGCUCCUUUGACGUUAGCGGCGGACGGGUGAGUAACACGUGGGUAACCUACCUAUAAGACUGGGAUAACUUCGGGAAACCGGAGCUAAUACCGGAUAAUAUUUCGAACCGCAUGGUUCGAUAGUGAAAGAUGGUUUUGCUAUCACUUAUAGAUGGACCCGCGCCGUAUUAGCUAGUUGGUAAGGUAACGGCUUACCAAGGCGACGAUACGUAGCCGACCUGAGAGGGUGAUCGGCCACACUGGAACUGAGACACGGUCCAGACUCCUACGGGAGGCAGCAGUAGGGAAUCUUCCGCAAUGGGCGAAAGCCUGACGGAGCAACGCCGCGUGAGUGAUGAAGGUCUUCGGAUCGUAAAACUCUGUUAUUAGGGAAGAACAUACGUGUAAGUAACUAUGCACGUCUUGACGGUACCUAAUCAGAAAGCCACGGCUAACUACGUGCCAGCAGCCGCGGUAAUACGUAGGUGGCAAGCGUUAUCCGGAAUUAUUGGGCGUAAAGCGCGCGUAGGCGGUUUUUUAAGUCUGAUGUGAAAGCCCACGGCUCAACCGUGGAGGGUCAUUGGAAACUGGAAAACUUGAGUGCAGAAGAGGAAAGUGGAAUUCCAUGUGUAGCGGUGAAAUGCGCAGAGAUAUGGAGGAACACCAGUGGCGAAGGCGACUUUCUGGUCUGUAACUGACGCUGAUGUGCGAAAGCGUGGGGAUCAAACAGGAUUAGAUACCCUGGUAGUCCACGCCGUAAACGAUGAGUGC